GACGAACGCUGGCGGCGUGCUUAACACAUGCAAGUCGAACGGAAAGGCCCUGCUUUUGUGGGGUGCUCGAGUGGCGAACGGGUGAGUAACACGUGAGUAACCUGCCAUUGACUUUGGGAUAACUUCAGGAAACUGGGGCUAAUACCGGAUAGGAGCUCCUGCUGCAUGGUGGGGGUUGGAAAGUUUCGGCUGUUGGGGAUGGACUCGCGGCUUAUCAGCUUGUUGGUUGGGUAGUGGCUUACCAAGACUUUGACGGGUAGCAGGCCUGAGAGGGUGACCGGCCACAUUGGGGCUGAGAUGCGGCACAGACUACUACGGGAGGCAGCAGUGGGGAAUAUUGCACAAUGGGAUGAAGCAUGAUGCAGCCACGCAGCGUGCGGGAUGACGGCCUUCGGGUUGUAUACCGCUUUCGCCUGUGACGAAGUGUGAGUGACGGUAAUGGGUAAAGAAGCACCGGCUAACUCCGUG
Molecule: ribosomal RNA, 468 nt
Filed under: uncultured bacterium
Lineage: Bacteria
Description: partial 16S ribosomal RNA
Rfam family: Bacterial small subunit ribosomal RNA
Source: RNAcentral